Molecule: ribosomal RNA, 442 nt
Filed under: uncultured bacterium
Lineage: Bacteria
Description: partial 16S ribosomal RNA
Rfam family: Bacterial small subunit ribosomal RNA
Source: RNAcentral
CCUACGGGUGGCAGCAGUGGGGAAUAUUGGGCAAUGGGCGCAAGCCUGACCCAGCAACGCCGCGUGAAGGAAGAAGGCUUUCUGGUUGUAAACUUCUUUUGACAGGGAAGAGCAGAAGACGGUACCUGUCGAAUAAGCCACGGCUAACUACGUGCCAGCAGCCGCGGUAGUACGUCGGUGGCAAGCGUUGUCCGGAUUUACUGGGUGUAAAGGGCGUGUAGGCGGGCUGACAAGUCAGAUGUGAAAUCCUGGGGCUCAACCCCCGAACUGCAUUUGAAACUGUUGGUCUUGAGUAUCGGAGAGGUAGGCGGAAUGCAUAGUGUAGCGGUGAAAUGCGUAGAGAUUAGGCGGAACACCAGUGGCGAAGGCGGCCUGCUGGACGACAACUGACGGUGAGGCGCGAAAGCGUGGGGAGCAAACAGGAUUAGAUACCCGUGUAGUC